Non-coding RNA from Macaca mulatta (Rhesus monkey), 2429 nucleotides. The record is from RefSeq and is a predicted model, not a curated record. Lineage: Eukaryota; Metazoa; Chordata; Mammalia; Primates; Cercopithecidae.
CCCUUUAAGAACAAAGGUGUCUACUUUCCUUCUUUAGGAUGCUCUAUCAUGAUUUAAUGAACCCUCCCAAUCUACUGUAUUCAGUAUUUGGCAUGAGUCAAUUUAGGGGAAUUCUAGAAAACAUAGCUGGCUGUUACCAUCAGGUUAAUGUAGAUUGGGAGGUAGGGAAAAACCCCAGGAGACACGUAGGAAGGACAAUACGUGAAAACAGAAGAAACUUGGAGUCAGUUCACCCUUCAAACAAAAUCCAGUUUCCAGAAGACAUUGUGAGGGCUGCUAGGUCUUCCUCACCUGAAGAUGGGGGAUUCCAGAUAAUUAUACUUGAAUCUCACAGGAUGGGGUGAUCACCACCAGCUCUCAAAUGGGAUGAGUUACAAUAUUUUCUAUCGGGAGGUGGUAAAUAAGAGGUUAGCUACAUGUCUGUAGUCAUCACAAUUUUGUCAAGAUUGCUCUUUUUACUUCCAUGUCAUAGAUGGAGUGCCUGAUGCUUGUGGAAGUGAUUGGCUCAGGGUCUCACCAUCAAAAGUGGCAGAGGAAAGAUUCCAACAUGUUUUAAAAGCUGCAAACUGACCUGACUCCCAUCCAUGCUGUCAUACCGACUUUGAGAUUUCAAUCCUCCUGAAGGCAGGAAACUUAUUCCAUUUGCUUUUAUACCCUCCAUAACACUAGUGAGCAAGUUUUGCUCAAAGUAACAUGGAAUAUUUUGCUGACUCAAGGUGAAAAAGAAGUAAGAGACUUAAAUGACACCAUCACAAGUCAACAUUCAAGGAACAGAGACAUAUGUAGCAUUAGCUGUCUCAGUCAAAUCAACAUAAACAUGCACGUUUAUCCUUUACAUGGGGGUAAGACAGCAAACACAAUUGAAAAAAUGAGCCAAGUGUAAAAAAUUUGUCACAAAGGGAUGGAUUUAGACAGGAGAGCAGUGAAGUAGGUUAUAAAAUGGUCAGCAUAAUCCAUUUUAAUGAAUUAUUAGCUGAAACAUGCAAAGCAUUUAGGAUUUCUGGGAGAAGUGUACAAACACACCAAAUGUUUGUCCGACAUUUUCUUCACUGCUUCUGUCUUUCCACAGGGCUGGAGAUGUUGACCAACAGCCUUGGGAGGAGAGGUUGCAGCUGAGCCCACACCCUCUCAAACUCCUUCAGACUGUUUCUGUUUUUGUAGACUACUUUACCAUUAACAACAAAUCCUAAGAUUUACUCAAUCAGUACAGCAGUCGUUGGCCAGAGUUCAAAUUUCUGAUUCGAAGGAAUCUGCCCUCUGCCUGCCAGGAUCGACUAUUAAUGGCUUCGUCCGUAGAGGAGCUGUGUCUUUGCUCACUACGGAACAGUAUUGAGGCUUCGAAAGGGGUAUUUUGCUGGUCACCUCCUGGUCAUCCUUCUGCUCACCAAGAACAGAUACUGUUCUCAGCCCCUUACAUUUACAAGGUCGUUUAAUUCUCACAUAGCCCUUUCAGAUAGAUGCGACUAUUACCCCCAUUUUACAGAGGAGGAAAUCGAGAGGCGGAGGACAUAGGUGAAUUGUCCCAGAUCACAGAGCUGGCCAUGGAGCUGGGACUUGCACCCAGCCAGCCUGGCUCCAGAGUUCACUGCCCUCCUCCUGUACAGCACCUGUGACCUGCAGUAAUCACCACCCAAACAGGCAGGCACUGCGGAUAGCCAAGUACACCUCUUCCGACUUCAGCACGGAGGACGGUUCGUUUUCAUUCUGGUGUUCAGCUCAGGACUGUGUUUAUCACCACAAGGACGCACAACCCAGAAAGCUCAGUCACGUGCCAUUGCCUUCUACGGUCAUGGUUUUCUACUUUUUGGCCCCAUUUUCCUGCGCACUUGGCCUGCUGGGACGUGAAUGAUGCGUUACUACUUCUACAGAAUGCAGCCCCCCAACUGUGAAGUUCCCGGGGUCCCUGGCCAGUGACUUGCUGAAGCCUCACUCUCCAGGACCUCUGUAGAGAGGCACCCUACUCGAAUGCAUGCUUCUCCAGGAAUAUUUGCUCUGGUAACAGCUGAGAAGAAAAACCCAUCUCUAACAGUUUGAUUGCAGGUGGGUGGCCCCGGGGCAAGUGAUUUUGGGAAGGUGGGGCUGGCUGGCGCCCUGUGUCCUGACUUUUCUUCUGAGCCUUUGCAAAACCACUUUUGAGAAAAUUAAUCGGGGUGGGUACUCCUGGGUGGCAUUUUCUUCUAAGUGAAAAUCUGUAGAAUUCCUGUCGUUGCGGGAGCUGUGGUUUUCUGUCAAGACCCUGUGGGGUCCUGGCAGUGUGGGGCCUGUUUCUUAUCCAGACUCUUCUUAUCCAGAAGAGUCAGGUGCCUGGCAAGUGAACUGGCCAACUCAAAUUUGUGUCACUCGUAUCGACCUAAAAUGAAAUACAAAUAAAACGUCUCAUUUCUGGCAUGAAAGAGACCUAGGAAGGGCAGGCUUAGGGCUGGCUUCUU